RNAcentral lists this ribosomal RNA (465 nucleotides) under Vreelandella stevensii. Its description in RNAcentral is "partial 16S ribosomal RNA". It matches the Rfam family "Bacterial small subunit ribosomal RNA", at positions 338 to 795 of the family's 1533-position model. Lineage: Bacteria; Pseudomonadati; Pseudomonadota; Gammaproteobacteria; Oceanospirillales; Halomonadaceae. The record is from RNAcentral.
CCUACGGGUGGCAGCAGUGGGGAAUAUUGGACAAUGGGGGCAACCCUGAUCCAGCCAUGCCGCGUGUGUGAAGAUGGCCCUCGGGUUGUAAAGCACUUUCAGUGAGGAAGAACGCCUGGUGGUUAAUACCCAUCAGGAAAGACAUCACUCACAGAAGAAGCACCGGCUAACUCCGUGCCAGCAGCCGCGGUAAUACGGAGGGUGCGAGCGUUAAUCGGAAUUACUGGGCGUAAAGCGCGCGUAGGUGGCUUGAUAAGCCGGUUGUGAAAGCCCCGGGCUCAACCUGGGAACGGCAUCCGGAACUGUCAAGCUAGAGUGCAGGAGAGGAAGGUAGAAUUCCCGGUGUAGCGGUGAAAUGCGUAGAGAUCGGGAGGAAUACCAGUGGCGAAGGCGGCCUUCUGGACUGACACUGACACUGAGGUGCGAAAGCGUGGGUAGCAAACAGGAUUAGAUACCCUAGUAGUC